Phrynosoma platyrhinos (Desert horned lizard) is the source of this 72-nucleotide non-coding RNA. NCBI's taxonomy places the organism in Eukaryota, Metazoa, Chordata, Lepidosauria, Squamata, Phrynosomatidae. The record is from the annotation of a GenBank genome assembly.
GCCAGUGUAGUAUAGUGGUUUUAGCACUGGACUACAACUCUGGAGACUAUGGUUCAAAUCCCAGCUCGGCCA